GGCUCUUUGUUGAGUUGGUUGUGGAAACCGACACGGUACAAACACGGUAGUGCUAUGAAAAAUGACACUGGUUCGAAUCCAGGAAGAGCCUCCA
Molecule: transfer RNA, 94 nt
Filed under: Caudoviricetes sp.
Lineage: Duplodnaviria; Heunggongvirae; Uroviricota; Caudoviricetes
Description: tRNA-Ser
Source: RNAcentral